CCCUUGUGAAAUCGGACGGCUUAACCGUUCGGCUUGCAGGGGAUACUGUUGGUCUUGGGGCCGGUAGGCGCCGAGGGUACUCCGGGGGUAGCGGUGAAAUGCUAUAAUCCCUGGGGGACCGCCAGUGGCGAAAGCGCUCGGCGAAACCGGACCCGACGGUGAGGGACGAAGGCCAGGGGCGCAAACCGGAUUAGAUACCCGGGUAGUCCUGGCUGCAAAGUAUGUGGGUUAGGUGCCGGACGUUCCUCGAGAGCGGUCGGUGCCGAAGGUAAGCCGUUAAGCCCACCGCCUGGGAAGUACGGCCGCAAGGCUGAAACUUAAAGAAAUUGGCGGGGGAGCACCACAAGGGGUGGAGCCUGCGGUUUAAUUGGAUUCAACGCCGGACAUUUCACCGGGGGCGACGGCAGAAUGAAGGCCAAGUCGACGACUUUGCCGGACUCGCCGAGAGGUGGUGCAUGGCCGCCGUCAGCUCGUAUCGUGAGGCGUCCUGUCAAGUCAGGUAACGAGCGAGACCCUCACCCUUAGUUGCCAGCGGAUUCCUUACGGAAUGCCGGGAACUCUAGGGGGACCGCUACCGAUAAGGCAGAGGAAGGAGAGGGCGACGGUAGGUCCGUAUGCCCCGAAUCCCCCGGGCAACACGCGGGCUACAAUGCGCAGGACAGAGGGCUGCGACCCCGAAAGGGGAAGCCGAUCCCUAAACCUGUGCCUAGUUCGGAUCGAGGGCUGAAACUCGCCCUCGUGAAGCUGGAAUCCCUAGUAACUGCGUGUCNCUNUCGCGCGGUG
Molecule: ribosomal RNA, 783 nt
Filed under: uncultured candidate division MSBL1 archaeon
Lineage: Archaea; Methanobacteriati; Methanobacteriota
Description: bacterial SSU rRNA
Rfam family: Archaeal small subunit ribosomal RNA
Source: RNAcentral